Molecule: long non-coding RNA, 938 nt
Organism: Brassica rapa (field mustard)
Lineage: Eukaryota; Viridiplantae; Streptophyta; Magnoliopsida; Brassicales; Brassicaceae
Source: RefSeq, a predicted model, not a curated record
AGACGAGUUCAACACACGUGGAGGCACCAGAUUGGCUGGACGGAGUUGUGAUGACGAGCUGCAAAAGAGGUGUUUCGAGUUAUUCUCCUCAUUUCCUCUUUUCUCCCAAAUAGCUAGGGUUUGCGACUCGAGAGGCGAUUCUUGUAGCUACGGCGAUCGAGAGGUCUUUUGUUCAUAAAAUCGAGGAGGGAGUGUCUCUUGAUCGAUCUCAGAUGGAUCCCGCAGAAGAAAUAAGACAUUCAAAGAAACAAAGGGAGAACUGCAACAUGUUAUGGUUCGUCCAGGAUUCACAGUACGGGAUUCCAAGAAGGUGUGCUUGCGGUGGGAAAAUCAUUGACGAGGUCCGGGGGAAGGAAGACUACGACAGUCAGCCUGGAAAGCGCUACUUCACGUGCAUCAACUAUGAAGGAUGAUCGGUUGCAUUAUAGUCAUCCUUGGGUGGUUGGUGUCCAGGAGGAGAUCGAAAGGAUGAGGAAGCGUCUGGAGGAUGCUGAGGAGGAGAUCAAGGGGGUGUGGAAUCUCAAGUUCCAGAUUCAGACCCUGCAGGAACAGUUUAGAAGCCUCACUGUCCAGGUCGCCACCCUGGAGAAGGUGUGCUUCGACUGAAAAUCAGAGGUUUCUAUGUCACGGGUUGCUGUGUCUUUUGCUGGAUCACGGGUUCAUAUGUCUGGAUCACGGGUUGCUAUGUCUGUUGCUGGUAUUAAUAAGUAUGUUGUUGCUCUAUUUUUACGGGAUCAGUGUAGUCUUUUGUAUGUUUCUACACUGAUGUUGCUUUAUGAUGAACGUAUGCAGUGGAGUCUUUCUCACACUGCUACUAUGUCCUUUUCUCUGUUUCGACACUAGUUUAUUUAAGUCACGGGUUGUACUAUGUAACAAAGAAGCAUAUAUAAAUAUGCUCUUGAUGUAUGUUUCAAAAUCAGAACUCAACUACUUCUCUU